Molecule: long non-coding RNA, 2491 nt
Organism: Astyanax mexicanus (Mexican tetra)
Lineage: Eukaryota; Metazoa; Chordata; Actinopteri; Characiformes; Acestrorhamphidae
Exons: 5
Source: RefSeq, a predicted model, not a curated record
CCAUCAGUAUAGAUAUAUUCAUAAGCAUUGUUGCUAUUUAAAUGACACAGGUGGAAGGCAGAAAAAUAUACUGUUGGUGAGGUGUAAGAUAGCAAUGAGCAUCGCAACGUGCCUUGUACAGAGUGUAAGAUAGUGCCCUUAGUUUUAAUUAUGUGUCUACUUUAUUUUGUCAAUAGUCUUACAACUUAUGUGGUAUAGUUUUUAUAUAGUUCUAAAAGUGUUUUAAUAGAUUGUGUGUCAGCAGAGGAGGUAGGUAACAAGUUUACCAGAAACAGGAUUAACUGUAACAGGGCUUAUGGUAACAGGGCCGAUGGUAACAGGGCUGAAGGUAACAGGACUGAAGGUAACAGGGCUGAAGGUAACAGGGCUGAAGGUAACAGGGCUGAUGGUAACAGGGCUGAAGGUAACAGGGCUGAUGGUAACAGGGCUGAAGGUAACAGGGCUGAUGGUAACAGGGGUGAAGGUAACAGGGCUGAUGGUAACAGGGCUGAUGGUAACAGGGCUGAAGGUAACAGGGCUGACAGUAACAGGGCUGAUGGUAACAGGAAUGAAAGGUAACAGGGCUGAUAGUAACAGGGCUGAUGGCAACAGGGCUAAUGGUAACAGGGCUGACGGUAACAGUGCUGAAGGUAACAGGGCUGAAGGUAACAGGGCUGAAGGUAACAGGGCUGAUGGUAACAGGGCUGAAGGUAACAGGGCUUAUGGUAACAGGGCUGAUGGUAACAGGGCUGAAGGUAACAGGGCUGACAGUAACAGGGCUGAUGGUAACAGGAAUGAAAGGUAACAGGGCUGAUAGUAACAGGGCUGAUGGCAACAGGGCUAAUGGUAACAGGGCUGACGGUAACAGUGCUGAAGGUAACAGGGCUGAAGGUAACAGAGAUGAGAGUAACAGGGCUGAAGGUAACAGGGCUGAAGGUAACAGGGCUGAUGGUAACAGGGCUGAAGGUAACAGGGCUUAUGGUAACAGGGCUGAUGGUAACAGGGCUGAAGGUAACAGGGCUGACAGUAACAGGGCUGAUGGUAACAGGAAUGAAAGGUAACAGGGCUGAUAGUAACAGGGCUGAUGGCAACAGGGCUAAUGGUAACAGGGCUGACGGUAACAGUGCUGAAGGUAACAGGGCUGAAGGUAACAGAGAUGAGAGUAACAGGGCUGAAGGUAACAGAGAGGAGAGUAACAGGGCUGAGGGUAACAGGGCUAAAGGUAACAGAGAUGACAGUAACAGGACUGAUGGUAACAGGGUUGAAGGUAAUAGAGAUGACAGUAACAGGGCUAAAGUGUAACUGGAUUGUUUGUUACAGGAAUGACAUUAUCUGGGUUGAUGGUAACAGGGUUGAUAGUAACAGAGUAAAGGUAACAGGGUUGGCUAACAGGGUUAACAGCAACAGAGUGAAUAAUAUAAGAAAUACAAGUAAUUUAAAUCAUAUUAUGUGUAUAAAUUGUGGCUAAAAUAUUCACCUAGUGUUGUUCUUAUUGUUACUGAAUGUUGUAUAGCCGCAGUUCUAGGACUAACCCUGUAACUGCUGGGUGCAUAUAAGCCAAAAAAAUAAAAUAAAUUAGAUUUGUUUCUGUAUGAUUGGAGGAGAUGUAGCCUAUUUGUUGACAAAUGGAUUUACAGUGGAGGAGUGACCUUUAUAAAAUGUCAUCUUCCAGCUAGUUUCUGCUUCUGUUUCACUGCUUCUGGAUUUGUUCUAACCUGAUCCACGUUUAAUUAAGAUCUGCAGAUACUGUAGGCUUUACAUUACAGACACUCUAAACAAGCACAGUAAAUAAAAGACUUACAAAAAGAGCGUAGGUGUGUGUGUGUGUGUGUGUGUGUGUGUUUGUCUGUGUGCACUAGAGUUUGUACUGUAUCUGUUUCUCUGAGUACUUUAUUAAUAUCCUCCUUUCACCCUGUUCUUCAAUACUUGUGAUAUAACCCCACAGCAUAGAAAACCACCACCAGUGUUGUGCCAGUUCACAGCUUUUCUGAACUAGUUCAAGUUCAGUUCAUACAUGCUCAAAGUGAACAGUUCACGUUCAAAGUUCACAAUUUUAAUUCUGAACUAGUUCAAAGUUCAGUUCAUUUUACUUUUUUCGUGAGAUAUUCAAAUAAAUACUUUUUUCACACUACAAGCUAGAAAUCACUAUACGUUCUUUGAAACGGCUCAUUGUAGACAUUUGCUCAUGACACUGUAAUUGUGGGUUUCUUACCCGGUGAUGAAAAUGUUCAUAAGGAGAAUCGGUGUCUGUGUCCGUGCAUCACUUCCACUAGCCAUUUUUUUUAUUGUAGCGCUUUCUCUCACUCUCGCCCUCGCGCUCCGCGCUCUCGAUGUUGGUCUCUCUCUCUCUCUCUCUCUCUCUCUCGCCCUCGCGCUCCGCGCUCUUGAUGUUGGUCUCUCUCUUUCUCUCUCUCGCUCUCUCGCUCUCUCUCGCGCGCGCUCCGCGCUCCGCGCUCUCUAGCCAAUGUUCAUUUACAGUGAUGUCCGCCGUUCAUGACACAUAAUGUGAACU